RNAcentral lists this ribosomal RNA (726 nucleotides) under uncultured bacterium. Its description in RNAcentral is "bacterial SSU rRNA". It matches the Rfam family "Bacterial small subunit ribosomal RNA", at positions 60 to 775 of the family's 1533-position model. The record is from RNAcentral.
AGUCGAGCGGCAGCGGAAAGUAGCUUGCUACUUUGCCGGCGAGCGGCGUACGGGUGAGUAAUGUCUGGGAAACUGCCUGAUGGAGGGGGAUAACUACUGGAAACGGUAGCUAAUACCGCAUGACCUCGAAAGAGCAAAGUGGGGGAUCUUCGGACCUCACGCCAUCGGAUGUGCCCAGAUGGGAUUAGCUAGUAGGUGAGGUAAUGGCUCACCUAGGCGACGACCCCUAGCUGGUCUGAGAGGAUGACCAGCCACACUGGAACUGAGACACGGUCCAGACUCCUACGGGAGGCAGCAGUGGGGAAUAUUGCGCAAUGGGCGCAAGCCUGAUGCAGCCAUGCCGCGUGUGUGAUGAAGGCCUUAGGGUUGUAAAGCACUUUCAGCGAGGAGGAAGGCAUCAUACUUAAUACGUGUGGUGAUUGACGUUACUCGCAGAAGAAGCACCGGCUAACUCCGUGCCAGCAGCCGCGGUAAUACGGAGGGUGCAAGCGUUAAUCGGAAUUACUGGGCGUAAAGCGCACGCAGGCGGUUUGUUAAGUCAGAUGUGAAAUCCCCGCGCUUAACGUGGGAACUGCAUUUGAAACUGGCAAGCUAGAGUCUUGUAGAGGGGGGUAGAAUUCCAGGUGUAGCGGUGAAAUGCGUAGAGAUCUGGAGGAAUACCGGUGGCGAAGGCGGCCCCCUGGACAAAGACUGACGCUCAGGUGCGAAAGCGUGGGGAGCAAACAG